AUGGAAAUCCACGAAGACGGAACAUCGAACCGGAACGUUGUUUCUCCGUUCCAUUCCGACUGAGAUUGUGAGACCCUUCAACUCCAAAAUUGGGCAAAAUGGUGAGGCUUCAGACAUAUGCGGGUCUUAGUUUGAUUGCAACUCUGGCUAUUACAUAUCAUGCAUUUAACAGUAGAGUCCAAUUUUAUCCGGCAAUGAUUUAUCUGGCAACUUCCAAGAUCAGUUUGGUACUUCUUCUCAACAUGGGUUUGGUCAUCAUGUGUGUUAUGUGGCAGAUAACUAAAAAGGUGUUCCUUGGUUCCCUUCGAGAGGCUGAGGUUGAGAGGCUUAAUGAGCAAUCGUGGAGGGAGCUUAUGGAAAUCCUCUUUGCAAUUACUAUCUUUAGACAGGAUUUCUCUAUUACAUUCCUUGCCAUGGUCACUGCACUCUUGUUAAUUAAGGCUUUGCAUUGGUUGGCUCAGAAGAGAGUUGAGUACAUCGAGACUACUCCUUCUGUGUCCAUGUUGUCUCAGGUUCGAAUCGUAUCUUUCAUCGGUUUCCUUCUUCUUCUGGAUGGCCUCUUUGUGUAUAGUUCUGCGAAGCAUUUGAUACAAUCACGGCAGGCUUCGGUUUCGCUCUUCUUUUCUUUUGAGUACAUGAUACUGGCAACAACAACAGUGUCAAUUUUUGUAAAAUAUAUCUUUUAUGUUAGUGACAUGCUUAUGGAGGGACAAUGGGAAAGGAAACCAAUCUUCACGUUUUACCUGGAACUUAUUAGGGAUUUGCUUCACUUGUCAAUGUAUCUGUGCUUCUUUAUUGUAAUUUUCAUAAACUAUGGAGUUCCUUUGCACUUAAUAAGGGAGCUGUACGAGACAUUUAGAAACUUCAAAGUUCGUGUUGCAGAUUACAUACGUUAUCGCAAGAUUACUUCAAAUAUGAAUGAUCGGUUUCCAGAUGCAACCCCUGAAGAGCUUAAUGUAAGUGAUGCAACCUGCAUUAUCUGUCGCGAAGAGAUGAUCACCGCCAAGAAACUUGUGUGCGGGCACCUUUUUCAUGUUCAUUGCCUUCGAUCAUGGCUGGAGCGGCAGCAUACUUGCCCUACCUGCAGAGCACUGGUUGUACCACCAGAAAAUGGGACAACUGCUGCUGGAAGGCGGCAAGGAUCACAGUCAGAUGCUCACCAAUAUGGCACUGGAAGCGCAGCUCAAGCUGAGAUUGGCAAUGGGGUGGCUACUGAUAAUUUGAGUCGGCAUCAAGCAAGGCUCCAAGCUGCUGCUGCAGCAGCAGCUUCAAUAUAUGAGAAAUCUUAUGUUUACCCCUCUGCAACUUCUUUUGUAUGGGAGGUGCCUUUCUUUGCCCAAAAAUGAAGAACAGGGUGCUCUUUGAUGCAUUUUAAGUGAAAGAAAACGGAAAGUGAAAGAGGGGGAAAAUAAAAAGAUGGAGCAGUUCCAUUUAGAAUGAUUGGUGAAUUUUAAAACAUGAAUUAAGUUAUAGGGUAUGUUUCUCUGUAGGGAAAUGUUUGGUUUCAUUUAAUUCUUGUUUCCAAAAUUAUGAUGUUUUCAUUCCGCUUCAAAUCUGAAAUCACAAGAAACUGGCUCUACCUUUGUCCUUUUGUUACAUAAUGAAUUAAUGAAAUGAUCCAAAAGUUGUGUACUUUUGUAAAGAUGAUACGGAUGCUAUUCCUUGAAUCUAAAACUCUAAUUUCUCAAACUCGCAGGUCCCCUGGAUACACUCUCUAUCCUCCAGUUCAAAGAUCUUUGGCCGAAUCAUCUGGUAAUGAGCUCAAUGGAGAACAAGCUUCCAUUGAGCAAGCACAAAAGCAGUUUGUUAUCCCUGAUGGACCACUGAGUGCAUCCAUUCCUCCAAUGGGGAACUUUAAUUUUCUACCUUCCCAAACACAUGUAGCCCACAUGAAUUAUGGAGAGGGAUUUAUAAAUGAUCCAAAUAUGCCAAACUCUCAGCAGGAAGCUCAAAGAAAACUCCAGAUUGAGCUUUUGCAAAAUCAGGUUCAGAUUCUGCAAAAUCAGCUCCAACUUCUGGAGAAGGCAAAUGUUGAAAAAGAUAUAGAUGAAGACACAUCAUUAUCAGAUAGCAGAGGCAAGCACAUCACUGCCCCUUCAUCAUCUAGUCAUGAGGAGAUUCAAGACACUGAAGCAUAAUCAUGACUUGGCUUAUUUCUGGCUAUACCAUGAGGAGACUACCUAAUGUAGAUAUAGGGAGAAGGUUAAUGCAAAAAUCACAGCAUUGCUUAUUUGCUUCCAUGUGACAUUAAUUUGAAUGCUGUAUUUUGUUCAAGGAUAUUAAUCUUGGGAAUGCAUUUUGCCUUUAAUAAUUUAUUUUUCCCUUUUUUAGAAAAUAAAAUAAUCAAUGAAAAUUUCAUUGGUUUUUAUUAGCUUAUGAGAAUUUAUACCCAUAUUGGUACUCUGCAAAUAGGUUAGGAUUGGCUUAGCAAUUAGUAGUUCAAUAUUUAUUCAGUGUGUCUGCUUGUUUGAAAUUUUAGGAGUCCAAAAUUGAGAUGUCUAUAUCUAUUUGCAUAAC
RNA transcript from Abrus precatorius (Indian licorice), 2517 nucleotides. It is a transcript of the gene named ERAD-associated E3 ubiquitin-protein ligase HRD1B-like, with no coding region annotated. The record is from RefSeq and is a predicted model, not a curated record. The transcript is spliced from 8 exons. NCBI's taxonomy places the organism in Eukaryota, Viridiplantae, Streptophyta, Magnoliopsida, Fabales, Fabaceae.